AAGUUACCUGCCACUUUCCCAAGAAACUGCAGCUCCAGCUUCUCAAUUAUUUUUUUAAUUUGUUUUUCUUUUAAACCAGAGGUACAAUUUAAACACUGUAAACAUUAAUUUAUAGGGUGAGAUGACAGCCCUGGGUCAAGCUGAAGGUUGAUUUAUCGGCUCUGUAACUUCCACAGAAGGACACAGCUCUUUCAAACUCAGCAGCUGAUUGGAUCCACACACCCUCCGGGCAGAACUUUGCCAGGAUAAUGACACAGCUAAUUGUUAUGCAACUUCAGCAUGAAGGAAAUGGUGUGAACAGAAGGUUUUAAGUGAAAAUAAUCUUUAAGAAAACAUCAAAUAAAAAUGCC
Long non-coding RNA from Hemicordylus capensis (graceful crag lizard), 350 nucleotides. RefSeq lists it as uncharacterized. The record is from RefSeq and is a predicted model, not a curated record. Lineage: Eukaryota; Metazoa; Chordata; Lepidosauria; Squamata; Cordylidae. The transcript has 3 exons.